RNAcentral lists this long non-coding RNA (244 nucleotides) under Trifolium pratense (red clover). Its description in RNAcentral is "long non-coding RNA (TPRA_LNC005818)". The record is from RNAcentral. Lineage: Eukaryota; Viridiplantae; Streptophyta; Magnoliopsida; Fabales; Fabaceae.
UUUUUUCUUGUUGUUUUCAAUCUAAAUAAGUGAUUUUUCACAUAGAUUAAGUUUUUUAGUUGUUUUUCUUUUUUAUUUGUGUGAUAUCGUCGUCUGAGUGCGGCGCUUGUGUUGAUCGUCGUCUUGGUACGACGUUGUUGAAUUCUCCGUCUUGUUACGGUGUUCGUUUAAUUCAUAUUGAAAGAUCAUCUUCAAUCAAUUGCAGAUUCAAUUAAUGAUUUGGGCAUCAACGUUGCAGAUCCGG